AGUGGCGGGAUGCGCCCGGGAGCCGCAGCCUGAGCUUUAGCCCAUGAGGAGGAUGUGAGCGGGACUGAGUCAGGAGCCCUCUGGAAGCAUGGAGACUGUGGUGAUUGUUGCCAUAGGUGUGCUGGCCACCAUCUUUCUGGCUUCGUUUGCAGCCUUGGUGCUGGUUUGCAGGCAGCGCUACUGCCGGCCACGAGACCUGCUGCAGCGCUAUGAUUCUAAGCCCAUUGUGGACCUCAUUGGUGCCAUGGAGACCCAGUCUGAGCCCUCUGAGUUGGAACUGGACGAUGUCGUUAUCACCAACCCCCACAUUGAGGCCAUUCUGGAGAAUGAAGACUGGAUCGAAGAUGCCUCGGGUCUCAUGUCCCACUGCAUUGCCAUCUUGAAGGUAACCCUCUCUUAUUUCUCUGUGGGAUAAAGGGGAGUC
This 424-nucleotide small RNA is filed under the name Pongo abelii (Sumatran orangutan). RNAcentral's name for it is "retained intron". Lineage: Eukaryota; Metazoa; Chordata; Mammalia; Primates; Hominidae. The record is from RNAcentral.